UACGAAGGGGGCUAGCGUUGUUCGGAAUUACUGGGCGUAAAGCGCGCGCAGGCGGUUCUUCAAGUCAGAGGUGAAAGCCCAGAGCUCAACUCUGGAAUGGCCUUUGAGACUAGAGAACUAGGGUACGGGAGAGGUGAGUGGAAUUCCGAGUGUAGAGGCGAAAUUCGUAGAUAUUCGGAAGAACACCAGUGGCGAAGGCGGCUCACUGGCCCGUUACCGACGCUCAGGCGCGACAGCGUGGGGAGCAAACAGG
RNAcentral lists this ribosomal RNA (253 nucleotides) under uncultured bacterium. RNAcentral describes it as "partial 16S ribosomal RNA". It matches the Rfam family "Bacterial small subunit ribosomal RNA", at positions 524 to 776 of the family's 1533-position model. The record is from RNAcentral.